CAUCACAUUUGCAUCAUGCCAGUUUCACUGAGCAACCUGCAAGUGUGCUGCUUCUGCACAACGUUUUACAUACUGAAAACAUUAGUUGAAAUAAAGAUGAGCAUGCAACGCACUGCUGUGGGAUUUUCUUCUCAAUCAGGACUCAUAAAAAACAGAAUUGAGAGUUCUUCAGAUGCCUCCAUUCCUUAUCUAUCUAGCACAAAAAGCAACAUAUGUAUACCAACUUACAGUGCAACCUUGGCUUCAUGGCAAUGCAUUCAUUUUGACAAGAAGCAGCAAAGAGCAACAAGCAUGAACUUUUAAAGCAAGAAGCCCUGACUUCCAGUCAGUCCCUGGGUCAUCACCUAUUAGUAGUGUGACUUGGGUCAAUUAUUUUCUCUGACCUCUCAUUUUCUCUUCCAUAAAAUGGAGAAAUUAAUAAUUUCUUCCUUAAGGGUUCUCAUGCAGAUCAAAUUAAAUAGUGCACAAGAAAGCACUCUGCAAACAGUUAAUUGCUAUAUUCACUGUUCUUUAUUAUUUUAUUCUAGAUGAGACAAACGGCACCCUUUGCUUUUCUUGGUAAAUUCCUGGAUGCUUGCUGACUAGAGUUCUGCAAUCAGAAAAUAUGCAUGCGAGGAGAAUUUUGUAGAAUGUUAUUUAUUAUGCUUCAAUUAUAUAAAUGUCCUAUUGUAGCCUCUCCUUUCUUUCCAUUAAAAAAAAUAUUCUUUUAAAGCAAUUUGUCAGAAAGCUACUAGUGUGACGACACUGGUUUAUUUAAACACUAC
RNAcentral lists this long non-coding RNA (764 nucleotides) under Macaca nemestrina (pig-tailed macaque). RNAcentral's name for it is "lncRNA (ENSMNEG00000045873.1)". Lineage: Eukaryota; Metazoa; Chordata; Mammalia; Primates; Cercopithecidae. The record is from RNAcentral.